This 89-nucleotide transfer RNA is filed under the name Gammaproteobacteria bacterium. Its description in RNAcentral is "tRNA-Leu". It matches the Rfam family "tRNA". Rfam says of the family: Transfer RNA (tRNA) molecules are approximately 80 nucleotides in length. Their secondary structure includes four short double-helical elements and three loops (D, anti-codon, and T loops). The record is from RNAcentral. Lineage: Bacteria; Pseudomonadati; Pseudomonadota; Gammaproteobacteria.
GCCCGAGUGGCGAAAUUGGUAGACGCAGCGGACUUAAAAUCCGCCGACCUUAACCGGUCGUGCCGGUUCGACCCCGGCCUCGGGCACCA